GGGUUGUGAGGUUAAGCGACUAAGCGUACACGGUGGAUGCCCUGGCAGUCAGAGGCGAUGAAGGACGUGCUAAUCUGCGAUAAGCGUCGGUAAGGUGAUAUGAACCGUUAUAACCGGCGAUUUCCGAAUGGGGAAACCCAGUGUGAUUCGUCACACUAUCAUUACGUGAAUACAUAGCGUAAUGAAGCGAACCGGGGGAACUGAAACAUCUAAGUACCCCGAGGAAAAGAAAUCAACCGAGAUUCCCCCAGUAGCGGCGAGCGAACGGGGAGCAGCCCAGAGUCUGAAUCAGCUUGUGUGUUAGUGGAACGGUCUGGAAAGUCCGACGGUACAGGGUGAUAGUCCCGUACACCAAAAUGCACAGGUUGUGAACUCGAAGAGUAGGGCGGGACACGUGGUAUCCUGUCUGAAUAUGGGGGGACCAUCCUCCAAGGCUAAAUACUCCUGACUGACCGAUAGUGAACCAGUACCGUGAGGGAAAGGCGAAAAGAACCCCGGCGAGGGGAGUGAAAAAGAACCUGAAACCGUGUACGUACAAGCAGUGGGAGCCUCUUUAUGGGGUGACUGCGUACCUUUUGUAUAAUGGGUCAGCGACUUAUAUUCUGUAGCAAGGUUAACCGUAUAGGGGAGCCGAAGGGAAACCGAGUCUUAACUGGGCGUUAAGUUGCAGGGUAUAGACCCGAAACCCGGUGAUCUAGCCAUGGGCAGGUUGAAGGUUGGGUAACACUAACUGGAGGACCGAACCGACUAAUGUUGAAAAAUUAGCGGAUGACUUGUGGCUGGGGGUGAAAGGCCAAUCAAACCGGGAGAUAGCUGGUUCUCCCCGAAAGCUAUUUAGGUAGCGCCUCGUGAAUUCAUCUUCGGGGGUAGAGCACUGUUUCGGCUAGGGGGUCAUCCCGACUUACCAACCCGAUGCAAACUGCGAAUACCGAAGAAUGUUAUCACGGGAGACACACGGCGGGUGCUAACGUCCGUCGUGAAGAGGGAAACAACCCAGACCGCCAGCUAAGGUCCCAAAGUCAUGGUUAAGUGGGAAACGAUGUGGGAAGGCACAGACAGCCAGGAUGUUGGCUUAGAAGCAGCCAUCAUUUAAAGAAAGCGUAAUAGCUCACUGGUCGAGUCGGCCUGCGCGGAAGAUGUAACGGGGCUAAACCAUGCACCGAAGCUGCGGCAGCGACACUAUGUGUUGUUGGGUAGGGGAGCGUUCUGUAAGCCGUUGAAGGUGUACUGUGAGGUAUGCUGGAGGUAUCAGAAGUGCGAAUGCUGACAUAAGUAACGAUAAUGCGGGUGAAAAACCCGCACGCCGGAAGACCAAGGGUUCCUGUCCAACGUUAAUCGGGGCAGGGUGAGUCGACCCCUAAGGCGAGGCCGAAAGGCGUAGUCGAUGGGAAACAGGUUAAUAUUCCUGUACUUGGUGUUACUGCGAAGGGGGGACGGAGAAGGCUAUGUUAGCCGGGCGACGGUUGUCCCGGUUUAAGCAUGUAGGCGGAGGUUCCAGGUAAAUCCGGUACCUUUUAACGCUGAGGUGUGAUGACGAGGCACUACGGUGCUGAAGUAACAAAUGCCCUGCUUCCAGGAAAAGCCUCUAAGCAUCAGGUAACACGAAAUCGUACCCCAAACCGACACAGGUGGUCAGGUAGAGAAUACCAAGGCGCUUGAGAGAACUCGGGUGAAGGAACUAGGCAAAAUGGUGCCGUAACUUCGGGAGAAGGCACGCUGAUAUGUAGGUGAAGUGAUUUACUCAUGGAGCUGAAAUCAGUCGAAGAUACCAGCUGGCUGCAACUGUUUAUUAAAAACACAGCACUGUGCAAACACGAAAGUGGACGUAUACGGUGUGACGCCUGCCCGGUGCCGGAAGGUUAAUUGAUGGGGUUAUCCGUAAGGAGAAGCUCUUGAUCGAAGCCCCGGUAAACGGCGGCCGUAACUAUAACGGUCCUAAGGUAGCGAAAUUCCUUGUCGGGUAAGUUCCGACCUGCACGAAUGGCGUAAUGAUGGCCAGGCUGUCUCCACCCGAGACUCAGUGAAAUUGAACUCGCUGUGAAGAUGCAGUGUACCCGCGGCAAGACGGAAAGACCCCGUGAACCUUUACUAUAGCUUGACACUGAACACUGGUCCUUGAUGUGUAGGAUAGGUGGGAGGCUUUGAAGUGUGGACGCCAGUCUGCAUGGAGCCAUCCUUGAAAUACCACCCUUUAAUGGCUGGUGUUCUAACGUGGACCCGUAAUCCGGGUUGCGGACAGUGUCUGGUGGGUAGUUUGACUGGGGCGGUCUCCUCCUAAAGAGUAACGGAGGAGCACGAAGGUUAGCUAAUCCUGGUCGGACAUCAGGAGGUUAGUGCAAAGGCAUAAGCUAGCUUGACUGCGAGAGUGACGGCUCGAGCAGGUGCGAAAGCAGGUCUUAGUGAUCCGGUGGUUCUGAAUGGAAGGGCCAUCGCUCAACGGAUAAAAGGUACUCCGGGGAUAACAGGCUGAUACCGCCCAAGAGUUCAUAUCGACGGCGGUGUUUGGCACCUCGAUGUCGGCUCAUCACAUCCUGGGGCUGAAGUAGGUCCCAAGGGUAUGGCUGUUCGCCAUUUAAAGUGGUACGCGAGCUGGGUUUAGAACGUCGUGAGACAGUUCGGUCCCUAUCUGCCGUGGGCGCUGGAGAAUUGAGGGGGGCUGCUCCUAGUACGAGAGGACCGGAGUGGACGCAUCACUGGUGUUCGGGUUGUCAUGCCAAUGGCAUUGCCCGGUAGCUAAAUGCGGAAGAGAUAAGUGCUGAAAGCAUCUAAGCACGAAACUUGCCCCGAGAUGAGUUCUCCCUGAGACUUAAAGUCUCCUGAAGGAACGUUAAAGACGAUGACGUUGAUAGGUCGGGUGUGUAAGCGUAGCGAUACGUUGAGCUAACCGAUACUAAUGAACCGUGAGGCUUAACCUUACAACGCCGAAG
Molecule: ribosomal RNA, 2927 nt
Filed under: Citrobacter freundii
Lineage: Bacteria; Pseudomonadati; Pseudomonadota; Gammaproteobacteria; Enterobacterales; Enterobacteriaceae
Description: 23S ribosomal RNA
Rfam family: Bacterial large subunit ribosomal RNA
Source: RNAcentral